UGCCAGCCGCCGCGGUAAUACGGAGGGUCCAAGCGUUAUCCGGAAUCAUCGGGUUUAAAGGGUGCGUAGGCGGAAUAAUAAGUCAGUGGUGAAAUCUUGCCGCUUAACGGUAAAAUUGCCAUUGAAACUGAAGUUCUUGAAUGUAGUUGAGGUAGGCGGAAUGUGUUGUGUAGCGGUGAAAUGCAUAGAUAUGACACAGAACGCCAAUUGCGAAGGCAGCUUACUAAGCUACGAUUGACGCUGAGGCACGAAAGCGAGGGGAGCGAACAGGAUUAGAUA
Molecule: ribosomal RNA, 279 nt
Filed under: uncultured bacterium
Lineage: Bacteria
Description: partial 16S ribosomal RNA
Rfam family: Bacterial small subunit ribosomal RNA
Source: RNAcentral